Bufo bufo (common toad) is the source of this 160-nucleotide long non-coding RNA. RefSeq lists it as uncharacterized. NCBI's taxonomy places the organism in Eukaryota, Metazoa, Chordata, Amphibia, Anura, Bufonidae. The transcript is spliced from 3 exons. The record is from RefSeq and is a predicted model, not a curated record.
UUGGCCUCCACCGAGUAUAUUUUAGUAGACGGACAUUUAACAUCCUUCAAUGUUCUUGAGUUUUGUGGAAACUAUGAAACAACCGCUAAACCUGAAAUAUAAUCAGCUUUAUAUGAAAGUACCACCAGGACAUGCACUGUAUCACCAGAAGAGACAUGAC